RNAcentral lists this long non-coding RNA (1892 nucleotides) under Phoenix dactylifera (date palm). RNAcentral's name for it is "long non-coding RNA (PDAC_LNC012498)". The record is from RNAcentral. Lineage: Eukaryota; Viridiplantae; Streptophyta; Magnoliopsida; Arecales; Arecaceae.
GAUACAAGACUGAAUGUAUAAUUAAUGCAUGUCACAGUUGGGCAAGAAGCUAGGGAACAAGAGGAAGAAGUCCCCCACUGCCUACUGUAGAUUUUUGGAGGUGUAUCAGGACCGUGCCGGAUUGGCAGGUGAGUGGAAGUCAUGUACUUUGCACCAUGAGCAUUCUUAAUUCAUUUUCAUGAAUGUCGCCAAGUGUGAAUUGAUUCCACUUGAGCAUAUUGAUUGAUAUUGUAGUAGAUUCCUCUAUAAUCUUGUUUCUCCAUGCUUGAUUAUUUUGUACAUGCACUGAGGGAAUAUUGAGAGAAAUUUCAAGGGGUAGAAGAGUAGUCAAAUUGGUUCCGAAUUGUGAAAUGACUUCUUUUGUAAAUUAAUUUUAUUUCCUCUAUUUCAAAGACUUGUAGAGCCUUUUCAGUGAUAUAUUGAGUUGCAUUGCACUCCCUUGACCCCUCACUCCCAACCCUGAUGUUAGUUUAUGAUUGGGCCGUGGUUGAGUGAGUGGUAAUCUUGAUUAUACUCCUUUUUAGUAGAGUAUUGGGAUGGUGCAUUAUGACAUUUAUGCAUGGCUUGACAGUAUCUACAGGACACCUAUAGUCUAUGGGGUUAGACAUCAGCCUGUGUGCACAUAGUAGCCUUCUGGGUGAGCGGAGCCCAGUCCCUUCCUAGGGGGGAUACGGCCCUAGGCGUAGGAUCGGCCGGUCCUGUGACUUAUAUAUGGCUUGCCGCCGGGCAAAGUAAGAUCCGCAAGGUGUCGUUUAGUAUACAGAUAUGAGAUGUUUCUAUGGAUUUCUGUUCUGGAUACUGGCCAGCAUUUACAUUAUCAAUAUAGUGUCUUAUCCUGCAUAUGCAUGUGACAGUAGGAAGUUGUUGUGGUUCGCCUGGGGCGUAAGACCCACCUUCCGACAGCUGUCUAGUGAUGACUUCGCAUAUUGACACAUCGAUUUGCAUAUUUCAGUGUUAUAAUCUAUUGAGCAUAUUCAUGAUGUAUCAUUCAUGUUUAUUUGACUAUUCUAUAUAUGCUCCCGAUGAUUAUGAUUGUGGUGAUACUGUGAUGAUUUACUCCAUAUUUCUUAUGUUGAGUUGUGUGCACCCUGUUAUUGAUGACUGCUCAUAUGCUCUUGAGAUUUCACCUCGAGCCAUGAUUAUAUCUUGUCUCAUGUGCAUAGUACUCUCUACUCCGCUCACUGAGUAUUCAUAUACUCACUUUCCAGUUUGGUGUUUUUGAUUGCAGGGCAGGUGUUGUACAGAGAGGAGCAGGGUUAGAGAUUGCCUGCUAGCUGUGCUGCUUCAUAGUAUAAUGUAGAUAGAGGUUUAUACCUUUUGGUGUAUUAUAAACCUUCUGUUGUAUAUAGUGUAUAGUUACAGUCAUAGAUCCUGUUGUGGAUAUGGGUUGACCAUGGAUGGAUUGGGAAACAGGUAUAUAUAUAUAUGUGCAGAUCAGUUGUGUGCCUGUGAUAAUGUAUUGCUAUAUAUUGUCCAGGUUUAUUAUGUGACAGAAUAUGUGAUUGCUGCUCUGACAGGUAGUGUUGUUGUAUGUAUUGAGAUAAUCCUGACAGGUCAAUAUAGGAAAGGUGAUCAUUUGUGUAUGCAUCAUGCCAAAAUUUUCAGAAUUUAUUGAUGAUUGAUAGGUAGUAGGGUUCUAUGUGGUGGCUGGUGGCCUUAUGCCUACCUGCACCCUAGGACCGUCGCGGCGGCCCGCCGGAACAGGGCAGGGGUCGUGACAGUGGCCCUUGCUAGCCUUCUAGUCUCAACCUCUUCCACACUCACUUGAGUUAGAUUCAAUACCAAAACCUGCAUAGAAGUUCUGAAUUAGACAAGUAUGAGGUACAAAGACUUGAAAUGGUUUUCAUUGGAUGUCUUUUGUCCAACAGUAAUUUAAAAUAUGGAAUUUCUGA